Molecule: ribosomal RNA, 275 nt
Filed under: uncultured bacterium
Lineage: Bacteria
Description: partial 16S ribosomal RNA
Rfam family: Bacterial small subunit ribosomal RNA
Source: RNAcentral
CCCUACGGGGGGCAGCAGUAGGGAAUCUUCGGCAAUGGACGAAAGUCUGACCGAGCAACGCCGCGUGAGUGAAGAAGGUUUUCGGAUCGUAAAACUCUGUUGGUAGAGAAGAACGUUGGUGAGAGUGGAAAGCUCAUCAAGUGACGGUAACUACCCAGAAAGGGACGGCUAACUACGUGCCAGCAGCCGCGGUAAUACGUAGGUGGCGAGCGUUAUCCGGAAUGAUUGGGCGUAAAGGGUGCGCAGGCGGUCCUGCAAGUCUGGAGUGAAACGCA